RNA transcript from Epinephelus fuscoguttatus (brown-marbled grouper), 1389 nucleotides. It is a transcript of the gene named elongation of very long chain fatty acids protein 4-like, with no coding region annotated. The transcript has 10 exons. Lineage: Eukaryota; Metazoa; Chordata; Actinopteri; Perciformes; Serranidae. The record is from RefSeq and is a predicted model, not a curated record.
CGCUAUGAACCAUGGGAAAUCCCCCAAGAAAGUUUGCAGAUUUGCGGACUCACACAUAAGGCGUCGGGGGAGUCCGGACUUGUUGAUCCGACCAAGACAACCUUGAUCCCUCGUGCAGUCAGCGGGAGCGCGCAUUAAAGUUCAUGAGCGUGGAGUCUGGGAUUUAGCCAAAUUUGCUGGAGUCGUGCAGACAGCCGCACUUUGCACCUACGUGCUGUGGUUUGUGAGGUUUACUCAAGUCUCCUGCAGCUGCAGGGAGUGUCUCUGACCCGGCUGGUAGCUCCAGUCCGUCCUCAUUGUUUCAUCAUCUCAGAAAAAUCCGGAUUUGGCUGCAGCGCGCUGCAAGUUGAACUUUGCUGAUACUGGUUUGCCAGGUGGCGUUCAAAGGUUCUCCAGCGUGCAGCGUGCUCACUCAGGUUUAACGGUAAAACUCCUGCUGCAAGUUUCCAGAUGGCUUCUGCAUGGCAAAGUGUCUUGUCUGUGCACCAGAGGAUAGUGGACAAUGGAGACAAGAGGACGGACCCGUGGCUGCUGGUCUACUCCCCCGUCCCGGUGGCACUCAUCUUCCUGGUGUACCUCUGCGUGGUCUGGGCCGGCCCUCGUCUGAUGAAACACAGAGAACCCGUUGACCUCAAAGUGGUUCUCAUUGUUUACAACUUUGCCAUGGUCGGCCUGUCUGCCUACAUGUGCUAUGAGUUCCUGGUCACAUCCUGGCUCUCGAGCUACAGCCUCCUCUGUCAGCCUGUAGAUUACAGCACCAACCCGCUAGCAUUGAGGAUGGCCAGAGUCUGCUGGUGGUUCUUCUUCUCUAAGGUCAUAGAGCUCAGUGACACCAUCUUCUUCAUCCUGAGGAAGAAGAACAGCCAGCUGACGUUCCUUCAUGUUUACCACCACGGCACCAUGAUCUUCAACUGGUGGGCGGGAGUCAAGUACGUGGCCGGCGGACAGUCGUUCUUCAUCGGCCUGGUCAACACCUUUGUUCACAUCGUGAUGUAUUCUUACUACGGCCUGGCUGCGCUCGGCCCUCACAUGCAGAAGUACCUGUGGUGGAAGAGAUACCUCACCUCUCUGCAGCUGGUGCAGUUUGUGCUGUUCCUCCUGCACACAGGCUACAACCUGUUCACAGAGUGCGACUUCCCCGACUCCAUGAACGUGGUCGUGUUUGGUUACUGUGUCACCCUCAUCAUCCUCUUCAGUAACUUCUAUUUUCAGAGCUACCUCAACAAGAAGAAGCAGAAAUAAGACACAGUGAUUGUGGAGCUUUAUGAAACUGUGAACAGCCGGAAAGAACACACCCCUAAGGAUGGAGAAGGCAGAAGCACACUGCCGCGAUGAAUGAGAAGAAUCCAGAGACCCUCAGCAGAAAGUUCUCCCUCAGCUCCUUCAACA